UACGAAGGGGGCUAGCGUUGUUCGGAAUUACUGGGCGUAAAGAGCGCGCAGGCGGUCGUUCAAGUCGAGUGUGAAAGCCCCCGGCUCAACUGGGGAGGGUCACUCGAUACUGAUCGACUCGAAGGCAGGAGAGGGUAGUGGAAUUCCCGGUGUAGUGGUGAAAUGCGUAGAUAUCGGGAGGAACACCAGUGGCGAAGGCGACUACCUGGCCUGUUCUUGACGCUGAGGCGCGAAAGCUAGGGGAGCAAACGGG
Molecule: ribosomal RNA, 253 nt
Filed under: uncultured bacterium
Lineage: Bacteria
Description: partial 16S ribosomal RNA
Rfam family: Bacterial small subunit ribosomal RNA
Source: RNAcentral